RNAcentral lists this ribosomal RNA (338 nucleotides) under uncultured Pseudomonadota bacterium. Its description in RNAcentral is "bacterial SSU rRNA". It matches the Rfam family "Bacterial small subunit ribosomal RNA", at positions 29 to 351 of the family's 1533-position model. The record is from RNAcentral. Lineage: Bacteria; Pseudomonadati; Pseudomonadota.
AACGAACGCUGGCGGCGUGCUUAACACAUGCAAGUCGAACGCGAAAGGGUUCUUCGGAACCUGAGUAGAGUGGCGCACGGGUGAGUAACGCGUAGAUAACCUGUCUUUGUGUCUGGAAUAAUCAAGCGAAAGUUUGACUAAUACCGGAUACGCUUGUCUUUCAUAAGGUUGACAAGGAAAGGUGGCCUCUGACAUAAGCUACUGCACGAAGAGGGGUCUGCGUAUCAUUAGCUAGUAGGUGGGGUAAAGGCCUACCUAGGCGACGAUGAUUAGCGGGUCUGAGAGGAUGAUCCGCCACACUGGCACUGGAACACGGGCCAGACUCCUACGGGAGGCUG